UCAGGACGAACGCUGGCGGCGUGCCUAAUACAUGCAAGUCGUACGCUUCUUUUUCCACCGGAGCUUGCUCCACCGGAAAAAGAGGAGUGGCGAACGGGUGAGUAACACGUGGGUAACCUGCCCAUCAGAAGGGGAUAACACUUGGAAACAGGUGCUAAUACCGUAUAACAAUCGAAACCGCAUGGUUUUGAUUUGAAAGGCGCUUUCGGGUGUCGCUGAUGGAUGGACCCGCGGUGCAUUAGCUAGUUGGUGAGGUAACGGCUCACCAAGGCCACGAUGCAUAGCCGACCUGAGAGGGUGAUCGGCCACAUUGGGACUGAGACACGGCCCAAACUCCUACGGGAGGCAGCAGUAGGGAAUCUUCGGCAAUGGACGAAAGUCUGACCGAGCAACGCCGCGUGAGUGAAGAAGGUUUUCGGAUCGUAAAACUCUGUUGUUAGAGAAGAACAAGGAUGAGAGUAACUGUUCAUCCCUUGACGGUAUCUAACCAGAAAGCCACGGCUAACUACGUGCCAGCAGCCGCGGUAAUACGUAGGUGGCAAGCGUUGUCCGGAUUUAUUGGGCGUAAAGCGAGCGCAGGCGGUUUCUUAAGUCUGAUGUGAAAGCCCCCGGCUCAACCGGGGAGGGUCAUUGGAAACUGGGAGACUUGAGUGCAGAAGAGGAGAGUGGAAUUCCAUGUGUAGCGGUGAAAUGCGUAGAUAUAUGGAGGAACACCAGUGGCGAAGGCGGCUCUCUGGUCUGUAACUGACGCUGAGGCUCGA
RNAcentral lists this ribosomal RNA (761 nucleotides) under Enterococcus faecium. RNAcentral's name for it is "bacterial SSU rRNA". It matches the Rfam family "Bacterial small subunit ribosomal RNA", at positions 24 to 756 of the family's 1533-position model. Lineage: Bacteria; Bacillati; Bacillota; Bacilli; Lactobacillales; Enterococcaceae. The record is from RNAcentral.